GUCCUUGCUGUAAACGAUGUAUACUUGGUGUAACCGGACUCAACCCUGGUUGUGCCGUAGCUAACGCGAUAAGUAUACCGCCUGGGGAGUACAGUCGCAAGGCUGAAACUCAAAAGAAUUGACGGGGACCCGCACAAGCAGUGGAGCAUGUGGUUUAAUUCGAUGCAACGCGAAGAACCUUACCCAGGUUUGACAUGCAGUGGAAUAUAGCAGAAAUGUUAUAGCCCUUCGGGGCCGCUGCACAGGUGCUGCAUGGCUGUCGU
RNAcentral lists this ribosomal RNA (263 nucleotides) under uncultured bacterium. RNAcentral's name for it is "partial 16S ribosomal RNA". It matches the Rfam family "Bacterial small subunit ribosomal RNA", at positions 793 to 1055 of the family's 1533-position model. The record is from RNAcentral.